Long non-coding RNA from Stegastes partitus (bicolor damselfish), 591 nucleotides. RefSeq lists it as uncharacterized. The record is from RefSeq and is a predicted model, not a curated record. The transcript has 2 exons. Lineage: Eukaryota; Metazoa; Chordata; Actinopteri; Pomacentridae.
CGGGUAUCAUGGGACAGCGAUCCUGGCCUGCAGGGAGAAAGCAGAGGGGCACCUACAGAGUAUGUCUCACUGGACCAUGAGCAGCCUGGUGAGGUGACACCCUGGUUGCAGUGUGACACCGAGCUGUCACCUCCCACCGCCUGCAUCGCACCUCUGCCCCCUGCUGGGACGAACCCGCCACGGCACCCGGACACCAGGACGCCCCGCCGGUCCUCCUCAUCAUCAUCCUCCUCCUCCUCCUCCUCUGCUGGCGUCAGACCUCAACUUUACAUUCUGUCACGCACUCAGUCAAACUCCUCGACAAGAAUCUCGGUAACUGUGUCUUUCUCACUUCGUCUCUUUAAAAGACGGUCAGUUUAUUUUGAAACGCCUCCUUGGCAGUGACCCCUACUCACAGGCUGGAUGGAUGGCACUGGAAACAGUGGCCCAAAUGUACUCAUUUUAAGUUGCAGACAUUAUUCUGAUGAGAUGUGUUCACGUAGUGUUGCUGAUAAUUACACCAACUUGAAUGUUUUGUGAAGUUUAAACUCAAAUUUCUUUCGUUAAUUGAUUUAAAACUAAAUUUAAGUUGUAUUAAAUGAAUUAAACUGG